AUUGAACGCUGGCGGCGUGCCUAACACAUGCAAGUCGAGCGGUAACAGGUGUAGCAAUACAUGCUGACGAGCGGCGGACGGGUGAGUAACGCUUGGGAAUCUGCCUAUUAGUGGGGGACAACCCGGGGAAACUCGGGCUAAUACCGCAUACGCUCUACGGAGGAAAGCCGGGGACCGCAAGGCCUGGCGCUAAUAGAUGAGCCCAAGUCGGAUUAGCUAGUUGGUAGGGUAAUGGCCUACCAAGGCGACGAUCCGUAACUGGUUUCUGAGAGGACGACCAGUCACACCGGAACUGAGACACGGUCCGGACUCCUACGGGAGGCAGCAGUGGGGAAUAUUGGACAAUGGGCGAAAGCCUGAUCCAGCGACGCCGCGUGGGUGAAGAAGGCCUGCGGGUUGUAAAGCCCUUUCAGUGGGGAAGAAAAGCCUCGACCUAACACGUCGGGGUCUUGACGUAACCCAUAGAAGAAGCACCGGCUAACUCUGUGCCAGCCGCCGCUGUAAC
Molecule: ribosomal RNA, 505 nt
Filed under: uncultured bacterium
Lineage: Bacteria
Description: bacterial SSU rRNA
Rfam family: Bacterial small subunit ribosomal RNA
Source: RNAcentral